This 253-nucleotide ribosomal RNA is filed under the name uncultured bacterium. Its description in RNAcentral is "partial 16S ribosomal RNA". It matches the Rfam family "Bacterial small subunit ribosomal RNA", at positions 524 to 776 of the family's 1533-position model. The record is from RNAcentral.
UACGAGAGGCCCAAACGUUAUUCGGAUUUACUGGGCUUAAAGAGUUCGUAGGCGGCUUGGAAAGUGGGGUGUGAAAACCCUCGGCUUAACCGAGGAAUUGCGCUCCAAACUCCCAAGCUUGAGGAAGCUAGAGGUGAGCAAAACAGAUGGUGGAGCGGUGAAAUGCGUUGAUAUCAUCUGGAAUACCGGAGGCGAAGGCGGCUCACUGGGACUUUUCUGACGCUGAGGAACGAAAGCCAGGGUAGCGAACGGG